GGCGAGUUAGGGGUAUGAUUCUCGCUUUGGGUGCGAGAGGUCCUGGGUUCAAAUCCCGGAAAGCCC
This is a non-coding RNA of Danionella cerebrum, 66 nucleotides long. The record is from the annotation of a GenBank genome assembly. NCBI's taxonomy places the organism in Eukaryota, Metazoa, Chordata, Actinopteri, Cypriniformes, Danionidae.